This 375-nucleotide ribosomal RNA is filed under the name uncultured bacterium. RNAcentral's name for it is "bacterial SSU rRNA". It matches the Rfam family "Bacterial small subunit ribosomal RNA", at positions 524 to 898 of the family's 1533-position model. The record is from RNAcentral.
UACGUAGGGUGCGAGCGUUAAUCGGAAUUACUGGGCGUAAAGAAUGCGUAGGCGGCUUGACAAGUCAGGAGUGAAAUCCCAAGGCUCAACCUUGGAACUGCUUUUGAAACUGUCUUGCUAGAGUCCCGGAGGGGUUGGCGGAAUUCCGAGUGUAGAGGUGAAAUUCGCAGAUAUUCGGAGGAACACCAGUGGCGUAGGCGGCCAACUGGACGGGAACUGACGCUGAGGCAUGAAAGUGUGGGGAGCAAACAGGAUUAGAUACCCUGGUAGUCCACACCGUAAACUAUGUGUGCUAGUUGUUGGAUAGCUUAGCUAUUCAGUGACGGAGCUAACGUUUUAAGCACACCGCCUGGGAAGUACGGCCGCAAGGUUAAA